GGAGAUGUACCCAAGUGGUUGAAGGGUCUGCACUCGAAAUGCAGUAGGCGUCUAAAAAGCGCGCGGGGGUUCAAAUCCCUCCAUCUCCGCCA
RNAcentral lists this transfer RNA (92 nucleotides) under Oscillibacter sp. RNAcentral describes it as "tRNA-Ser". It matches the Rfam family "tRNA". Rfam says of the family: Transfer RNA (tRNA) molecules are approximately 80 nucleotides in length. Their secondary structure includes four short double-helical elements and three loops (D, anti-codon, and T loops). The record is from RNAcentral. Lineage: Bacteria; Bacillati; Bacillota; Clostridia; Eubacteriales; Oscillospiraceae.